RNAcentral lists this ribosomal RNA (438 nucleotides) under uncultured bacterium. Its description in RNAcentral is "bacterial SSU rRNA". It matches the Rfam family "Bacterial small subunit ribosomal RNA", at positions 954 to 1392 of the family's 1533-position model. The record is from RNAcentral.
GCAAAACGCGAAGAACCUUACCCACCUUUGACAUGUACGGAAUCCUUUAGAGAUAGAGGAGUGCUCGAAAGAGAGCCGUAACACAGGUGCUGCAUGGCUGUCGUCAGCUCGUGUCGUGAGAUGUUGGGUUAAGUCCCGCAACGAGCGCAACCCUUGCCAUUAGUUGCUACAUUUAGUUGAGCACUCUAAUGGGACUGCCGGUGACAAACCGGAGGAAGGUGGGGAUGACGUCAAGUCCUCAUGGCCCUUAUAGGUGGGGCUACACACGUCAUACAAUGGCUGGUACAAAGGGUUGCCAACCCGCGAGGGGGAGCUAAUCCCAUGAAGCCAGUCGUAGUCCGGAUCGCAGUCUGCAACUCGACUGCGUGAAGUCGGAAUCGCUAGUAAUCGUGGAUCAGAAUGUCACGGUGAAUACGUUCCCGGGUCUUGUACACACCG